AUUGAAUUAAAAUUAAAAUAUUGGCAUGUGUUCUAUGCCAAAAACUCAGAAGGAAAAUAUCAGGCAGGGUGUGUUGUUGCCACUUAUAAUAAAUGAAUAGGGAAUGGAAUUCUUCCUCAAUUUAAGUCAACUCAAGCUGCAGAGCGUUUUGCCCUCACCCAAGCUUGUCAUGUGGUGUAUUUCCACUACCUGAUGGAACAAAGCACAUUUACCGAUGGACUUCAUUCAGCUGCCACCCUUAGUGAGAUAUCAUCUAGAACCUGGAGAAUGGGUCUUCUGGAAAUGCCAUCACAGGAAGGCUGCUCUUGAACCUUGUUGGAAGGGGCCAUACCAAGUUCUUCUCACAACCCACACUGCAGUGAAGCUUCAGGACCUUAAACGUUGGAUCCACAUCUCACACCUCAAAAGCGCCCCUUCAGACUCCUGGAACUGUACGCCUGCUGGAGAUUUUAAGGAAAAUCCAUGGGACCAUACGCAAUGGAUGGCUUUAGCUCAAGAUUAUGCUCUAAUACAAAACCAUUAAUUGUUGGGUUAGUUAGUUAAUGCCAAAAAAUCAAGAAACAAUUACACUGAUGCCAAUGCCUCUCAACAUUUGCAAUGACAAUCACCUUGAAACUCCAAGGGAAGAAUAAAAAGCUAUCCUUGAUAUUCUAAACAUUGUUGCUACUUGCUUUCCUGCAUUCACUAAAAAUAGCACUCUUAUUUUUUAAUAAAUAAUAUAGAAAACAAAUCCAAAUGAUGCCUGCAAAAGGUAUGUUAUGCUUCCUGGCAUUACACACUCAAGAUUUGGGAAUCAUCUAUGCGGUUACAAUUAUUUGCUUGGAUUAAAUCCAGUUGGGUCUCUUUUUACUAAAUGUGGAGAUAUAUAUAUAUAUAUAUAUAAAAUAUAUAUAUACACACACACACACACACACACACGCACACUAAAUGUGGAGAUAUAUAUCUACACAUUUAUAUAUAUAUAUAUACACACACAUAUAUAUAUAUAUGGUCUCCACAUUUAUGUGUGUGUGUAUAUAUAUUACAUAUAUAGAUUCCUCUAUAUAUACACACACAUAAAUGUGGAGACAUACAUGUAUAGAGGAAUAUAUAU
RNAcentral lists this long non-coding RNA (1093 nucleotides) under Homo sapiens (human). Its description in RNAcentral is "HSALNT0186229". The record is from RNAcentral. Lineage: Eukaryota; Metazoa; Chordata; Mammalia; Primates; Hominidae.